GACCUCAAAUCAGGUAGGACUACCCGCUGAACUUAAGCAUAUCAAUAAGCGGAGGAAAAGAAACUAACAAGGAUUCCCCUAGUAACUGCGAGUGAAGCGGGAAAAGCUCAAAUUUAAAAUCUGGCGGUCUUUUGGCUGUCCGAGUUGUAAUCUAGAGAAGUGUUAUCCGCGCUGGACCGUGUACAAGUUUCCUGGAAUGGAGCAUCAUAGAGGGUGAGAAUCCCGUCUUUGACAUGGACUACCAGGGCUUUGUGAUGCGCUCUCAAAGAGUCGAGUUGUUUGGGAAUGCAGCUCAAAAUGGGUGGUAAAUUCCAUCUAAAGCUAAAUAUUGGCGAGAGACCGAUAGCGAACAAGUACCGUGAGGGAAAGAUGAAAAGAACUUUGGAAAGAGAGUUAAACAGUACGUGAAAUUGCUGAAAGGGAAACGCUUGAAGUCAG
This 438-nucleotide ribosomal RNA is filed under the name uncultured fungus. RNAcentral describes it as "eukaryotic LSU rRNA". It matches the Rfam family "Eukaryotic large subunit ribosomal RNA", at positions 1 to 432 of the family's 3401-position model. Lineage: Eukaryota; Fungi. The record is from RNAcentral.